GUCUACGGCCAUACCACCUGGAACAUGCCUGAUUUCGUCUGAUCUCAGAAGCUAAGCAGGGUCGGGCCUUAGUACUUGGAUGGGAGAAUAUGAAUUGUUUCAAAAGGGUUCUGUGCAUG
This 119-nucleotide ribosomal RNA is filed under the name Erinaceus europaeus (western European hedgehog). Lineage: Eukaryota; Metazoa; Chordata; Mammalia; Eulipotyphla; Erinaceidae. The record is from RNAcentral.